UUAAGUUUGGCAGAAAAAUGUGUUUGUUUUAGGAACAAAAUAUAUGAGUAUAUUUCAUAACUUGUA
Molecule: transfer RNA, 66 nt
Filed under: Nemertopsis tetraclitophila
Lineage: Eukaryota; Metazoa; Nemertea; Enopla; Monostilifera; Emplectonematidae
Description: tRNA-Leu
Source: RNAcentral